This 253-nucleotide ribosomal RNA is filed under the name uncultured bacterium. Its description in RNAcentral is "partial 16S ribosomal RNA". It matches the Rfam family "Bacterial small subunit ribosomal RNA", at positions 524 to 776 of the family's 1533-position model. The record is from RNAcentral.
UACGUAGGGGGCGAGCGUUGUCCGGAAUCAUUGGGCGUAAAGCGCGUGUAGGCGGCUCGGUAAGUCUGCUGUGAAAGUCCAGGGCUCAACCCUGGAAUGCCGGUGGAUACUGUCGAGCUUGAGUCCGGAAGAGGCGAGUGGAAUUCCUGGUGUAGCGGUGAAAUGCGCAGAUAUCAGGAGGAACACCAAUGGCGAAGGCAGCUCGCUGGGACGUGACUGACGCUGAGGCACGAAAGCGUGGGGAGCAAACAGG